Molecule: ribosomal RNA, 589 nt
Filed under: Clostridium botulinum
Lineage: Bacteria; Bacillati; Bacillota; Clostridia; Eubacteriales; Clostridiaceae
Description: partial 23S ribosomal RNA
Rfam family: Bacterial large subunit ribosomal RNA
Source: RNAcentral
AAUUUUAAGGUCAAGCUACAAAGGGCGCAUGGUGAAUGCCUUGGCACUAGGAGCCGAAGAAGGACGCGAUAAGCUGCGAUAAGCCUUGGGUAGCCGCAAAUAGGCUGAGAUCCAGGGAUUUCCGAAUGAGGAAACUCACAUGGGUAACCCCAUGUAUCAUGCACUGAAUACAUAGGUGUAUGAGGGUAAACCCGGGGAACUGAAACAUCUAAGUACCCGGAGGAAGAGAAAGAAAAAUCGAUUUCCUAAGUAGCGGCGAGCGAACGGGAAAGAGCCCAAACCAGAAACUUGUUUCUGGGGUUGUGGAUAGAUCAUAAAAGAAGAGGUAUCUUAAUCGAAGAGGGCUGGAACGCCCUACCAUAGAAGGUAAUAGUCCUGUAGGUAAAAAGAGAAAACUUCGAGAUCUAAUCCAGAGUACCACGAGACACGUGAAACCUUGUGGGAAGCAGGGAGGACCACCUCCCAAGGCUAAAUACUACCUAGUGACCGAUAGUGAAGCAGUACCGUGAGGGAAAGGUGAAAAGAACCCCGGAAGGGGAGUGAAAUAGAACCUGAAACCGUGUGCCUACAACCGAUCGGAGCACGUUAA